GAUGAACGCUGGCGGCGUGCCUAACACAUGCAAGUCGAACGGAAAGGCCCUGCUUUUGUGGGGUUCUCGAGUGGCGAACGGGUGAGUAACACGUGUGUAACCUGCCCUUGUCUUUGGGAUAACUUCAGGAAACUGGGGCUAAUAUCGGAUAGGAGCUCCUGCUGCAUGGUGGGGGUUGGAAAGUUUCGGCUGUUGGGGAUGGACUCGCGGGUUAUCAGCUUGUUGGUGGGGUAGUUGCUUACCAAGGCUUUGACGGGUAGCCGGCCUGAGAGGGUGGACGGCCACAUUGGGACUGAGGUACGGCCCAGACUCCUACGGGAGGCAGCAGUGGGAAAUAUUACACAAUGGGCGGACGCCUGAUGCAGCGACGCCGCGUGCGGGAUGACGGCCUUCGGGUUGUAAACAGCUUUCGCCUGUGACGAAGCGGGAGUGACGGUAAUGGGUAAAGAAGCACCGGCUAACUACGUG
Molecule: ribosomal RNA, 468 nt
Filed under: uncultured bacterium
Lineage: Bacteria
Description: partial 16S ribosomal RNA
Rfam family: Bacterial small subunit ribosomal RNA
Source: RNAcentral